This 440-nucleotide ribosomal RNA is filed under the name uncultured bacterium. RNAcentral's name for it is "bacterial SSU rRNA". It matches the Rfam family "Bacterial small subunit ribosomal RNA", at positions 338 to 789 of the family's 1533-position model. The record is from RNAcentral.
CCUACGGGGGGCAGCAGUGGGGAAUAUUGCACAAUGGGCGGAAGCCUGAUGCAGCGACGCCGCGUGGGGGAUGACGGCCUUCGGGUUGUAAACUCCUUUCACCAUCGACGAAGGGUUUCUGACGGUAGAUGGAGAAGAAGCACCGGCUAACUACGUGCCAGCAGCCGCGGUAAUACGUAGGGUGCGAGCGUUGUCCGGAAUUACUGGGCGUAAAGAGCUCGUAGGUGGUUUGUCGCGUCGUCUGUGAAAUUCCGGGGCUUAACUCCGGGCGUGCAGGCGAUACGGGCAUAACUUGAGUACUGUAGGGGAGACUGGAAUUCCUGGUGUAGCGGUGAAAUGCGCAGAUAUCAGGAGGAACACCGGUGGCGAAGGCGGGUCUCUGGGCAGUAACUGACGCUGAGGAGCGAAAGCAUGGGGAGCGAACAGGAUUAGAUACCCUA